Molecule: long non-coding RNA, 693 nt
Organism: Halichondria panicea
Lineage: Eukaryota; Metazoa; Porifera; Demospongiae; Suberitida; Halichondriidae
Exons: 5
Source: RefSeq, a predicted model, not a curated record
AAACCACUGUAGCUUUGUAUACAAAUUGAUACAAAAUUGAUGUGGUGAUGGUACACAUUCUGUCAGACAAACCCACUCAAGCACACAAAUAAUCACACGAUUGUGUUAGCUUUCUCCUGGGUGGCCACCUUUUAGAUGUCCAGAGUGGAGGGUGUGUUCUAUCGUAUUGGACAGAAUCUGGAGCGGUACAGGCUAGCUGGAACCAGUCGCUCACACCAUUGACGACCAUAAUGCCAACUCUAUAUAAGGAAUCAAAUCAAUGCAUCCAAUUAUAUGCGUUUAAUUACAAUGCUUCUAUAAUCGAGAUGAGCUUCUUCAUACCAAUGUGACACCUAUAGAGAGAGGCACACAACGUCGGCUAACACAGUUGACUUGUUGGAUGUACUGGUUCCCCCGAGGACCAUUCGUAUCACCACUCCUCGUCGGAGGUUCCACCUGGAAUUUAAGACGGAAAUAAAACGAGUCCAAACAAUAGUGGAGGGUGUGUUCUAUCGUAUUGGACAGAAUCUGGAGCGGUACAGGCUAGCUGGAACCAGUCGCUCACACCAUUGACGACCAUAAUGCCAACUCUAUAUAAGGAAUCAAAUCAAUGCAUCCAAUUAUAUGCGUUUAAUUACAGUGAGCUCAGUGUUUAACUGAUUACUGUUGUGUUUAACUGAUUUUGUCGUUAUUUCAAUACCAAUCCCAUGCACU